Molecule: long non-coding RNA, 284 nt
Filed under: Elaeis guineensis (African oil palm)
Lineage: Eukaryota; Viridiplantae; Streptophyta; Magnoliopsida; Arecales; Arecaceae
Description: long non-coding RNA (EGUI_LNC031300)
Source: RNAcentral
GUGUUGAAGUGUGGCAUCCUCUGAUUGGUGUCGAAGUGCAUCGCAAAGAGUUGGUCAAACUACUCAAAUGAAUAGAAACUCCCCAAUUGAAGUCUGGAGUACCAUAUUCGGGUAGUUUUUUGAAGUGUGAUCGAAAAAGCAAUGCAGAGGAGGGUGUCAGAUGCCCCUUGAAGAAGCAUGAGACUUUGUAGCUCUCGAGUUGGUCGAGUGGAUCAGUGGAGCUAUCAUAUGGCUCCAUAUGCGGUAUCUUAAACUGACUAAGAAUUGGUUCGUUGAGGAUCUAU